RNAcentral lists this ribosomal RNA (492 nucleotides) under uncultured bacterium. RNAcentral describes it as "partial 16S ribosomal RNA". It matches the Rfam family "Bacterial small subunit ribosomal RNA", at positions 29 to 507 of the family's 1533-position model. The record is from RNAcentral.
AGUGAACGCUGGCGGUAGGCCUAACACAUGCAAGUCGAACGGCAGCACAGUAAGAGCUUGCUCUUACGGGUGGCGAGUGGCGGACGGGUGAGGAAUACAUCGGAAUCUACUUUUUCGUGGGGGAUAACGUAGGGAAGCUUACGCUAAUACCGCAUACGACCUACGGGUGAAAGCAGGGGAUCUUCUGACCUUGCGCGAUUGAAUGAGCCGAUGUCGGAUUAGCUAGUUGGCGGGGUAAAGGCCCACCAAGGCGACGAUCCGUAGCUGGUCUGAGAGGAUGAUCAGCCACACUGGAACUGAGACACGGUCCAGACUCCUACGGGAGGCAGCAGUGGGGAAUAUUGGACAAUGGGCGCAAGCCUGAUCCAGCCAUACCGCGUGGGUGAAGAAGGCCUUCGGGUUGUAAGGCCCUUUUGUUGGGAAAGAAAAGCAGCAGGUUAAUACCCCGCUGUUCUGACGGUACCCAAUGAAUAAGCACCGGCUAACUUCGUG